AUACGGAGGGGGCUAGCGUUGUUCGGAAUUACUGGGCGUAAAGCGUACGCAGGCGGAUAUUUAAGUUAGAGGUGAAAUCCCAGGGCUCAACCCUGGAACUGCCUUUAAAACUGGGUAUCUAGAGUUAUGGAGAGGUAAGUGGAAUUCCUAGUGUAGAGGUGAAAUUCGUAGAUAUUAGGAGGAACACCAGAGGCGAAGGCGGCUUACUGGACAUAUACUGACGCUGAGGUACGAAAGUGUGGGGAGCGAACUGGAUUAGAAACCCUAGUAGUCC
RNAcentral lists this ribosomal RNA (274 nucleotides) under uncultured bacterium. RNAcentral describes it as "partial 16S ribosomal RNA". It matches the Rfam family "Bacterial small subunit ribosomal RNA", at positions 523 to 796 of the family's 1533-position model. The record is from RNAcentral.